AUGGUUAAAGUUACAAUUUACUUUCAUCAUGAUGGUGAGUGGCUAACUAGUCCAGAACCAUACUAUGUAAAGGAAGUGUGACUUAUUGGAAAGGGUAUGAUCCUGACCUUAUAUCUUUUUUAGACUUAGUUAAUGAAUACACAAAUAAGUUAGGCUUUGUGAGUGUGCAAGAACUAAUUGUUCUUGCUCCAAGCGAAUUUUUUUUUUUUUGAAAUAAUAGGUGAUGAGGGGGUUAGGACCUUAGCAUCUUUUGUAUCUAGUGAGUAUAAUCAAUUCGCUUGUUUGCUACGGAUUAAUGUGACUUGUCUGUUAAAGUAACUGAUAUUUUGAUGCAUGAUGGGUCAUGUUUACUUGUACCAAUUAUUAAUGAGGGUACAGAUUGUAGUGAAAGUGAUGAUGACAAUAAUAAUGAAAUGGUAUUUAGUUGUUCGGAUUAUAACACAGAAGAAUUAGAAAAUUUCUUCACUAAAAAAAAAGGAAUAUAACUGAUAGUUUGCAAGAUUAUAAAGAGAUUGUUAAGGGUAUGGCCUUCAAAGACAUAGCUGAAGCAAAACAGUUUUGUAAACUGUAUGCUCUAGCUAAGAAGGUAGAACUUGUUGUGGUGAAGAGUGAUAAAAACAGAUUGAGGUACAAAUGUGCUGCUGAUGGCUGUCCAUUUUUACUAUUUAUUUCUGGGGAUAUGACUACUCCUGGUGUUAGUGUCAAAACACUUGUAGAGCAUAUAGAGUGUGGAACAACAUAUAAUAGCUCUGCAGUAGAUUAUUCCAUAAUAGCCUUGUAUUUUAAGGACAAAUUGCAAAGUGACCCCACGUAGAAGGUCAAACAAAUGAAGGAUGAUUUACAUAGAGUUUUUGAGCUCAAUGUUAGUGAAGCAAAGUGCAAGAGAGCCAAAAAAGAGAUAUUGGAGAGUUUAGAAGGAAGCUUUGUAGACUCUUACAACAAAUUAGAGGGUUAUGCUACUGAAUUGAGAAGUCGUAAUCUAGGGUUUAACAUUGUGAUUGAUUUGUCUAAAGAGACACUAUCUAAUGACAAUAGAGAAUUUUUUAGGAUGUAUAUCUGUUUCAGGCAAUAAAGUUGGGUUUUAAGUCUUGGUUAAUACCACUGAUUGGGUUAGAUGGUACAUUCCUUAAAGGAAAAGCUAAGAGACAAGUAUUGUGUGCUGUUGGUCAAGACAGUAAUAACUCUUUCUACCCUCUAGCUUGGGAUGUGGUAGAUAAAGAGACUAAGAGGACUUGGACAUGGUUUAUGCAACAUUUGCAACAUUCCCUUGAGCUUCAAAAUGGUGAAGGACUGACAUUCAUAUCAGAUAUGCAGAAGGGGCUGCUUGAAGCAGUAAGGACAGUCUUACCUGAAGCAUAUCAAAGAUAUUGUGCAAGACAUAUUGAGGCAAAUUGGUGCAGAAGAUGGGGCAAAGGUGAGCUGAAAAAGUUGUUAUGGUAGGCUGCAUGGUCAUCAUUUACAGAGGAGUUUGAGGACCAACUUGAAGAGAUCAAGGAAGUUAAUGGAGAGACUGGACAAAAUUUAAUAGACAAGUAUCCUCCAAAAGCAUGGUGUAGAGUCUAUUUAGAUACAGUGUGCAAAAAUCAGAUUGUGGACAACAACUUUACUGAAUGAUUCAAUGCCUAGAUACUUGAAGCAAGGUACAAGCCAAUUAUUGAAAUGUUGGAAGACAUUACAGUCAAAAUAAUGGAGAGGUUGGCAGCAAAAGAAGUUGUUGUGAGAAAGUGAAAAGAUGAUGGGUUUAGUCCCAAAAGUGAGAUGUUGUUUAAUGAGUAUUUGAAGAUUUUCAAGGUUUAUAAGGUGAGUGGCAAUGAGAAUAAUGGCUAUGAGGUUACUGAAGGUACAGAUAGACACAUUGUCAACUUAA
Solanum lycopersicum (tomato) is the source of this 1867-nucleotide long non-coding RNA. RefSeq lists it as uncharacterized. The record is from RefSeq and is a predicted model, not a curated record. Lineage: Eukaryota; Viridiplantae; Streptophyta; Magnoliopsida; Solanales; Solanaceae.